This 253-nucleotide ribosomal RNA is filed under the name uncultured bacterium. RNAcentral describes it as "partial 16S ribosomal RNA". It matches the Rfam family "Bacterial small subunit ribosomal RNA", at positions 524 to 776 of the family's 1533-position model. The record is from RNAcentral.
UACAGAGGGGGCAAGCGUUGUUCGGAAUUACUGGGCGUAAAGCGCACGUAGGCGGUCAGGCAAGUCGGGUGUGAAAGCCCUGGGCUCAACCGAGGAACUGCUUUCGAGACUGCCAAGCUAGAGUGCGGAAGGGGCAUCUGGAAUUCCCAGUGUAGCGGUGAAAUGCGUAGAUAUUGGGAAGAACACCUGAGGCGAAGGCGGGAUGCUGGGCCGACACUGACGCUGAGGCGCGAAAGCCAGGGGAGCAAACGGG